GAUGGGGACGUUUCCCAGGAUGCCCUCAACAACCUCAAAUCUCUCAUGGAUCAAGUUUAGGAGCCAUUGCAGAGAACCUUUCAGAAUGUUCAUCAAGGAUAUGUAACUGAAAUCUUAGUACGAUUUCUGAAAG
Non-coding RNA from Arachis ipaensis, 133 nucleotides. The record is from RefSeq and is a predicted model, not a curated record. NCBI's taxonomy places the organism in Eukaryota, Viridiplantae, Streptophyta, Magnoliopsida, Fabales, Fabaceae.